CAUAGAGAAAUGCUUAAAUUUGCUAAUUUAAUUAAAAAUUUGCUAAUAUAAUUAAAAAUCUAGCACAAACAUUAGUGGACAUAUUAACAAUAUUGAUCAAACUAUAAAGGAAAAAAAUUUAAAAGAAAAUUACUUCCAGAUUAUUUUGGAUUUUUUUUUUUUGAACCAGGAAUUCAAAGUUAUUAGUCACAGGGGACUAAAUCUAUAAUCUGAUUUCCAAUUCUUGCAAACUGUGUUGGGUAAUAAACUUGUAAUGAGAAAACAAACAAAUUAAACUGGGUAAAAGGUCUGGUCCUUCAAUAGAUUUUUUGUUUUAAUGAAAAAAAUCUAUUGAGUGAAACCUGAAUUUUCUUACUCUCUUAGUUUUGAAGAUACCUAAACACACGCAAUAUUGCAUCUUUUUUAGCUGUCAGGAAAAGCAUCAAUGACAAUUGAAUUUAUAUAGAAGAUAUCAAUCUAAAUGAGCUAGGACCUUUUCAAAAAGAUACAUAAGCAGAUAGAGAGCGCUUUGACUGUGGCCUUUUUUUCAGAGUUAAAACUGAAGAUAUUUGAAAGUUAUUUAAAAAAUAAUGCCUGUAAUUUUCAUUUUUAAUUAACUGCUAAAUAUCAGGAGUACUGUGAAUGAUAAUUCAUAGAUAAAAUCACUGUGAAGGUUAGACCCUAACCCUAACCAUAACCAAAGACAAACAGGAGUUUUUUUUUAUUGUUUAGCAUUAUUCAUUCCUAGACUGAACCCACUACCAGAGACAUCAAUCAAGCAAAGUGUGGGCGGUGAAUGACUGGUUAUGUGUGGGACUGAGCUGCCUACUGGAGUUAACCCCCAGCCACUCAGUCAGUCUCGUUUCAGAUUUCUGCUGGCCUAAGAUAGAAGACUGAUAGUCAGACUCUUCCUCUGGGAAAAGAAAAGAAGAAAAGAAUAAUAACCAUCUAAAAAGAAACUUAUAUAUCAAACAGUCUGUGACAUCUAUAGAAGCUGCUGAAUGUAGUUUUUAUGGAGGGAUGAUUCUGGACUUGAACUGGCACUAGGUACUGCUGGCCACCUUUAGAAGAGUAUGACUAAUUUUGAUCUCUUCACCUAACAUAUGGGGCUUUUUAACUGUGUGUUUGUAAGCAAGAUAGAUUUUUUUUUUUU
RNAcentral lists this long non-coding RNA (1132 nucleotides) under Cyanistes caeruleus (blue tit). RNAcentral's name for it is "lncRNA (ENSCCEG00000022746.1)". The record is from RNAcentral. Lineage: Eukaryota; Metazoa; Chordata; Aves; Passeriformes; Paridae.